GAUAUUUAACUUUAUAUUUUUUUCCCUUUUAUAUUACACUGUUAUAAUUUUUAGACAGACAUAUUUCUAAUUAUAAAAUUGAUAUUUUACUUAAAGUAUAAACAAAAAUUAGAGAAAUAUAUUUGAAAAUAUUAGAAUUUUUAUAGAGACAACAUAUGAAAAUUGAACUUUAUAGGAAUGUAUUUACAAUUUACUAUAUUUGCAAGGAUUUGUAUGCAUUUAACCUUAUUAAAUAAAUUUGUAAAUGCACUA
This 252-nucleotide long non-coding RNA is filed under the name Ananas comosus (pineapple). RNAcentral's name for it is "long non-coding RNA (ACOM_LNC042480)". The record is from RNAcentral. Lineage: Eukaryota; Viridiplantae; Streptophyta; Magnoliopsida; Poales; Bromeliaceae.